ACAGUAGGCCGGUUUGCCGCUCUUCCUCCGGGAAGGGAGGAAAGUCCGGGCAGCACAGAGCGUCCCAUUACCUAACGGGUAGCUAUUCGUGAGAGUAGAGGCCGGUAGAAGAAAAUAACCGCUCCAUCCGUGGAGUAAGGGUGAGAAGGUGAGGUAAGAGCUCACCGGAUCCGGUAGCAAUUCCGGAUGCCGUACCGCUUGGGAGCUGCAAGGUCAUGUACACCGGCGCACGUAGGACUGCUCGUCCGAUGCCGGGGGGUAGACUGCUGGAGCCUGACGGAGACGUCAGGUCGAGAUAAAUGGCAAACACCUGCGUAUGCAGGAACAGAACCCGGCUUAUAGGCCUACUGUUUUU
This 355-nucleotide RNase P RNA is filed under the name Dysgonamonadaceae bacterium. RNAcentral's name for it is "RNase P RNA component class A". It matches the Rfam family "Bacterial RNase P class A". From Rfam's summary of the family: Ribonuclease P (RNase P) is a ubiquitous endoribonuclease, found in archaea, bacteria and eukarya as well as chloroplasts and mitochondria. Its best characterised activity is the generation of mature 5'-ends of tRNAs by cleaving the 5'-leader elements of precursor-tRNAs. Cellular RNase Ps are ribonucleoproteins. Lineage: Bacteria; Pseudomonadati; Bacteroidota; Bacteroidia; Bacteroidales; Dysgonomonadaceae. The record is from RNAcentral.